GGGGGGGGGGGGAGGGGGACGCCGGGACCAUGUGGGGGAGGGUCAGACCCUGCCGCCCCCAGGACAUCGGGAGGUCAUGAGGAUGGUCAGGGAAAUCGCCGUCCUGCACAAGGUGCCCCUCGCGGAGGUGACGACGGACGAGCGGGUGCUGCUGGAGGCCGGUUUCGGGGCGACCCCCCCCCUUUUCGAGUGCUUCGUGGCAGAGCCGCCGCCUGGGAGGGGGCGAG
Non-coding RNA from Phalacrocorax carbo (great cormorant), 227 nucleotides. The record is from RefSeq and is a predicted model, not a curated record. Lineage: Eukaryota; Metazoa; Chordata; Aves; Suliformes; Phalacrocoracidae.